This 446-nucleotide ribosomal RNA is filed under the name uncultured bacterium. RNAcentral's name for it is "bacterial SSU rRNA". It matches the Rfam family "Bacterial small subunit ribosomal RNA", at positions 330 to 793 of the family's 1533-position model. The record is from RNAcentral.
UCCAGACUCCUACGGGAGGCAGCAGUGGGGAAUAUUGCACAAUGGGGGAAACCCUGAUGCAGCGACGCCGCGUGAGCGAUGAAGUAUUUCGGUAUGUAAAGCUCUAUCAGCAGGGAAGAAAAUGACGGUACCUGACUAAGAAGCCCCGGCUAACUACGUGCCAGCAGCCGCGGUAAUACGUAGGGGGCAAGCGUUAUCCGGAUUUACUGGGUGUAAAGGGAGCGUAGACGGCUGCGCAAGCCAGAUGUGAAAGCCCGGGGCUCAACCCCGGGACUGCAUUUGGAACUGUGUGGCUGGAGUGCCGGAGAGGCAGGCGGAAUUCCUAGUGUAGCGGUGAAAUGCGUAGAUAUUAGGAGGAACACCAGUGGCGAAGGCGGCCUGCUGGACGAUGACUGACGUUGAGGCUCGAAAGCGUGGGGAGCAAACAGGAUUAGAUACCCGAGUAA